This 502-nucleotide ribosomal RNA is filed under the name uncultured bacterium. Its description in RNAcentral is "partial 16S ribosomal RNA". It matches the Rfam family "Bacterial small subunit ribosomal RNA", at positions 30 to 523 of the family's 1533-position model. The record is from RNAcentral.
AUUGAACGCUGGCGGCAUGCCUUACACAUGCAAGUCGAACGGCAGCACGGGUGCUUGCACCUGGUGGCGAGUGGCGAACGGGUGAGUAAUAUAUCGGAACGUGCCCAGUAGUGGGGGAUAACUAGUCGAAAGAUUAGCUAAUACCGCAUACGACCUGAGGGUGAAAGCGGGGGAUCGCAAGACCUCGCGCUAUUGGAGCGGCCGAUAUCUGAUUAGCUAGUUGGUGGGGUAAAAGCUCACCAAGGCGACGAUCAGUAGCUGGUCUGAGAGGACGAUCAGCCACACUGGGACUGAGACACGGCCCAGACUCCUACGGGAGGCAGCAGUGGGGAAUUUUGGACAAUGGGGGCAACCCUGAUCCAGCAAUGCCGCGUGAGUGAAGAAGGCCUUCGGGUUGUAAAGCUCUUUUGUCGGGGAAGAAACGUUGGUGGUUAAUACCCACUGAUAAUGACGGUACCUGAAGAAUAAGCACCGGCUAACUACGUGCCAGCCGCCGCAGUAA